CCUACGGGAGGCAGCAGUCGAGAAUCAUUCACAAUGGGGGAAACCCUGAUGGUGCGACGCCGCGUGGGGGAAUGAAGGUCUUCGGAUUGUAAACCUCUGUUAUGUGGGAGCAAAUUAAAAAGAUAGUACCACAAGAGGAAGAGACGGCUAACUCUGUGCCAGCAGCCGCGGGAAUACAGAGGUCUCAAGCGUUGUUCGGAAUCACUGGGCGUAAAGCGUGCGUAGGCUGUUUCGUAAGUCGUGUGUGAAAGGCGCGGGCUCAACCCGCGGACGGCACAUGAUACUGCGAGACUAGAGUAAUGGAGGGGGAACCGGAAUGCUCGGUGUAGCAGUGAAAUGCGUAGAUAUCGAGAGGAACACUCGUGGCGAAGGCAGGUUCCUGGACAUUAACUGAUGCUGAGGCACGAAGGCCAGGGGAGCGAAAGGGAUUAGAUACCCUUGUAGUC
Molecule: ribosomal RNA, 446 nt
Filed under: uncultured bacterium
Lineage: Bacteria
Description: partial 16S ribosomal RNA
Rfam family: Bacterial small subunit ribosomal RNA
Source: RNAcentral